UACAGAGGGGGCAAGCGUUAUUCGGAAUUAUUGGGCGUAAAGGGCGCGUAGGCGGCCUGGCAAGUGGAAGGUGAAAUCCCUCGGCUUAACCGAGGAACUGCCCUCCAAACUGCUUGGCUUGAGUCCGGGAGAGGUGAGUGGAAUUCCCAGUGUAGCGGUGAAAUGCGUAGAUAUUGGGAGGAACACCAGUGGCGAAGGCGGCUCACUGGACCGGAACUGACGCUGAGGCGCGAAAGCGUGGGGAGCAAACGGGG
Molecule: ribosomal RNA, 254 nt
Filed under: uncultured bacterium
Lineage: Bacteria
Description: partial 16S ribosomal RNA
Rfam family: Bacterial small subunit ribosomal RNA
Source: RNAcentral